RNAcentral lists this ribosomal RNA (465 nucleotides) under uncultured Arsenophonus sp. Its description in RNAcentral is "bacterial SSU rRNA". It matches the Rfam family "Bacterial small subunit ribosomal RNA", at positions 338 to 795 of the family's 1533-position model. The record is from RNAcentral. Lineage: Bacteria; Pseudomonadati; Pseudomonadota; Gammaproteobacteria; Enterobacterales; Morganellaceae.
CCUACGGGGGGCUGCAGUGGGGAAUCUUGCACAAUGGGCGCAAGCCUGAUGCAUCCAUGCCGCGUGUAUGAAGAAGGCCUUCGGGUUGUAAAGUACUUUCAGUCGUGAGGAAGGUGUUAAGGUUAAUAACCUUAGCAAUUUACGUUAUCGACACAAGAAGCCCCUUCUCACUCCGUGCCACCCGCCGCGGUCCUCCUGCGGGUGCGAGCGUUCAUCGGAAUUACUGGUCGUAAAGGGCACGCAGGCGGUUAAUUAAGUUGGAUGUGAAAUCCCCGGGCUUAACCUGGGAAUGGCAUUCAAGACUGGUUAGCUAGAGUCUUGUAGAGGGGGGUAGAAUUCCAUGUGUAGCGGUGAAAUGCGUAGAGAUGUGGAGGAAUACCGGUGGCGAAGGCGGCCCCCUGGACAAAGACUGACGCUCAUGUGCGAAAGCGUGGGGAGCAAACAGGAUUAGAUACCCGAGUAGUG